This 254-nucleotide ribosomal RNA is filed under the name Klebsiella pneumoniae. RNAcentral describes it as "partial 16S ribosomal RNA". It matches the Rfam family "Bacterial small subunit ribosomal RNA", at positions 199 to 455 of the family's 1533-position model. Lineage: Bacteria; Pseudomonadati; Pseudomonadota; Gammaproteobacteria; Enterobacterales; Enterobacteriaceae. The record is from RNAcentral.
ACCUUCGGGCCUCAUGCCAUCAGAUGUGCCCAGAUGGGAUUAGCUAGUAGGUGGGGUAACGGCUCACCUAGGCGACGAUCCCUAGCUGGUCUGAGAGGAUGACCAGCCACACUGGAACUGAGACACGGUCCAGACUCCUACGGGAGGCAGCAGUGGGGAAUAUUGCACAAUGGGCGCAAGCCUGAUGCAGCCAUGCCGCGUGUGUGAAGAAGGCCUUCGGGUUGUAAAGCACUUUCAGCGGGGAGGAAGGCGAU